CUUAACUCUGGGAUAAGCCUGGGAAACNGGGUCUAAUACCGGAUAUGACUCCUCAUCGCAUGGUGGGGGGUGGAAAGCUUUUUGUGGUUUUGGAUGGACUCGCGGCCUAUCAGCUUGUUGGUGAGGUAAUGGCUUACCAAGGCGACGACGGGUAGCCGGCCUGAGAGGGUGACCGGCCACACUGGGACUGAGACACGGCCCAGACUCCUACGGGAGGCAGCAGUGGGGAAUAUUGCACAAUGGGCGCAAGCCUGAUGCAGCGACGCCGCGUGAGGGAUGACGGCCUUCGGGUUGUAAACCUCUUUCAGUAGGGAAGAAGCGAAAGUGACGGUACCUGCAGAAGAAGCGCCGGCUAACUACGUGCCAGCAGCCGCGGUAAUACGUAGGGCGCAAGCGUUAUCCGGAAUUAUUGGGCGUAAAGAGCUCGUAGGCGGUUUGUCGCGUCUGCCGUGAAAGUCCGGGGCUCAACUCCGGAUCUGCGGUGGGUACGGGCAGACUAGAGUGAUGUAGGGGAGACUGGAAUUCCUGGUGUAGCGGUGAAAUGCGCAGAUAUCAGGANGAACACCGAUGGCGAANGCAGGUCUCUGGGNAUUAACUGACGCUGANGAGCGAAAGCAUGGGGAGCGAACAGGAUUAGAUACCCUNNAGUCCAUGCCGUAAACGUUGGGCACUANNUGUGGGGGACANUCCACGUUUUCCGCGCCGU
Molecule: ribosomal RNA, 706 nt
Filed under: uncultured bacterium
Lineage: Bacteria
Description: bacterial SSU rRNA
Rfam family: Bacterial small subunit ribosomal RNA
Source: RNAcentral